UACGUAGGGAGCAAGCGUUGUCCGGAAUCAUUGGGCGUAAAGCGCGCGUAGGCGGCCUCAUAAGUCCGUUGUGAAAGUCAAAGGCUCAACCUUUGAAAGCCGAUGGAUACUGUGAGGCUAGAGUCCGGAAGAGGCGAGUGGAAUUCCUGGUGUAGCGGUGGAAUGCGCAGAUAUCAGGAGGAACACCUGUGGCGAAAGCGGCGCACUGGACCACAACUGACGCUGAGGCGCGAAAGCUAGGGGAGCAAACAGG
This 253-nucleotide ribosomal RNA is filed under the name uncultured bacterium. RNAcentral's name for it is "partial 16S ribosomal RNA". It matches the Rfam family "Bacterial small subunit ribosomal RNA", at positions 524 to 776 of the family's 1533-position model. The record is from RNAcentral.